RNAcentral lists this long non-coding RNA (3061 nucleotides) under Erythranthe guttata (spotted monkey flower). RNAcentral's name for it is "long non-coding RNA (EGUT_LNC002615)". The record is from RNAcentral. Lineage: Eukaryota; Viridiplantae; Streptophyta; Magnoliopsida; Lamiales; Phrymaceae.
CCAUCUGAGUCGCCGUGGUGGGGUGGCGCGUUGAAGCUAGGUAACUUUAACUCGGAGAAGCGAACAGUUCCAGAGAAACUGAAGCAAAUGAGCUUAUUUGACGCAGUUCAAAUUUGGAGAGCUCGAAACAGUUGGAGCAAUGACGGAUGAAGAAAAUCCCCAAUUGAUCCUCUCUGCUGCCAAUUCUACUCCAGUAGUCUGACCAUGGUAAACAUUUUCUCUCUUAAUUGGUUUUUUUUUUUUUUUUUCAUUUACUGUACGCACACCGUGAAAAAACCAAAUCAAUCUGCUUAUUCGUUUGUUUCUAUGAGUGCUCCAUGCGAUUUUCUGUGUGCGCGUGUGUGAUUUGUUGUGACUAAUUGCAUGUUUGAAGAUUGUUAAUUCAAAAACUGAGCAAGAGGAAAUGGAAACCAUGCUUUUAGCUUUAGGUUGAAUAGAUUCACAAGAGGAAAAAAAAGGGGGGAACUACAUAGGUACAUUGUUCAUACAAAAAUUAGUGCAAGCAAUAAGAAGCUUAAUCUCUGAAGAGAUUAGCCGCCUGACGACUGACUUUAAGAGGCAGCCCAAAAUUCUGAUAAACCCUAAUCUCACCUUCCAAGCUCGCCGUCACAAUGACUAGCCCCCAUGCCGUUGCUUGAACAGUGUGACCCCCUUGCCCCCCAUCAAACAAAGACCAAGAAGUUGACCAAGACUGCGAUGGGGAAGUGGCGGAAGCAGAAAUGGAAGGCGACUCACCAUAACUAAUCGAUGCAGACGAUGAAUCGAAAGAGUCCCUCACGCCUAUUCCAGGAUCUAUGGGAGCGGAUUGAGCGAAUUCCUCAUCAGCACCGCUCGAUACCCUCUCCAAACGGUUGUUCUUCUUGGGCAGAGGGGGCAAUUGCCUCCUGCUACUGGUCCCCACCAAGUUUUCCUCACGGGUCGGAGAGUUGCUGCUGGAAUUUGGUGGUAGUGGAGCGGUUGACCGUUUUGAGUGUCUUUUGGAAUGUAUUUCUACUACCGGUGGCUCGUUUUUUAUGCUACCUGGCCAUGGGAUUGCUACCGAUACAUCCCUACAGUGGAAGUGCUCGUGUGCUUGUACGGUGAUUCUGCUUUUUCUCUUUCCACCGCUCGGACUUUUGGACUCUUCGACUUUCCAUAUAUAGACCUGAGAGUCCUCGCUGGCGCUUAUGACGUGUCUUCCGUCUGGACUGAAUGAAGCUGCAAUCUGGCUGCCCGUGUUUCGAAAUCCUGUGAUGAUAAUGAUGGGAAAUUGAUUGGUUUGAGUUUGCCGGUCGUUGCCUCGUGAAGUUAUGAAUGAGUAUGUGAGAGGUGGCAUUAUAAUUUGUACCUCUAUAUUUUUGGACGAGCUCUGGUCCAUUAUGUAUCCGAAUUCGAGAAUCAGUGGAAGUGAUGAGCACUUCAGAUGGAUUCCAAGGAGCAUACUGCAGGUAAAGUAAAUAUUAAACAAUUUGGGAAUUGGUUUGAAUGGAAGGAGUUAGAUCGUGGAUUGAAGAUUACCUGAAAACCAGUGACUUUUUUGGGUUGAGUUUGAGAUUGAAAACCAGGGAGUUUUUUGGCUUGAGACUUCGUCUUCAACUGGAUAUCACUGAGGUGUUCCAGUUUGCAAUCUAGGAUAUAAAAGCACACUCAGAAUAAGGUAUUACUAGUGUUAAAAAGAGUAUCGAAAACCUUGCAGUUGGAAGACGUUCUUACCAUCAAUGCUAUAAGUUCGACAGAUCCCUUGAUGAGAACCAAUAAUAGCACCCUUCAAAGAUGGAAAUAAAUGAAAUCAGAACAAUGUUUUCGUCACUUAUUUGAUCAAGGAUUGCAUUUUCUUUCUCAUUCUAAUGUUAUUUGUUCUUCUAGACGAACUAACUUAGCAGAGAUUGAAAUGAUUCCUACUUGAUUUUUCUGAAGCUAAGUAAACUACUAAAGACACUAAACAUGCAUGUGUUGGUCAGAGUUUAUUAUAAAAGAUCUAAUCAACACAAAAGUAGCUUAUUCAUAGAAAUCUUUAUUGCAGAUUUAUUUUUAAAGAAUUUCAUCUGGGCUACCUGACCAUCGGGAGUGUAGCUAGCAGCAGUAACCAUUUCAUGAAGAUCUGUCCAGUCAACAACCUUACGAGCAGGUAUAUUCCAAAUUCGAACCUUUCCAUCUAGUGAGCCGCUCAUAAAGUAGUUGUCAUCUACUGGAUUGAACUGUAUGCAAGUUACUGCCAUAUCAUCAUAGACUCAUUAGGCAUAAAUAAUGAUCCAUGCAAGUAAAGAGACUUAUCAUACCACUUUUAAGCGAUUGAUGACUGAGUAACUGCAGUAUAAUUUGGCAUCUCACCAUAGUCAUUGUGUGCAAACAUCUUCAGACAGCUCUUUGUUUCCAGAUCCCACAUCCUAACCGUCUUAUCCAUUGAAGAUGAAAGCAAUAGCUGCGAAUAAUAUCUGACUUAGUCAACUAUUUCUGAAAACCAAUUAUGUUCAUACUAUUCAUAAAGAAAUACAUUGAACUCUUUCAUUUAUUUAGGAAUUUAGGAAUUAUAUAAAAUAAAAUGACUAAGCCUCAACUUUCCCAUGAUUAAGCUAAAUUUGCAAGAAGCUGACCUGUGAUGUCGACCACGAGAGAUCCAGGACAUGAUCUUGAUGACCUUUGAAAGUGAAUACUGGUUUCUCUGAAAGAGCAAAAACAGUAUCUGGCACAUUUACAUAGUCCGGGAUUGAGUUGCCUUUCUUUUUGUUAUUUUUACCCUUUUUCUUCCUUUCAGAUGGCAUAGGUAUUAUUUCCGCAAGUGGAGGACGGUCUGAAGCAAUCCCAGCCAUCGGAUGAACAGGUGUGCCACCGGCCGAACUCAAAUCAUCGCCUGAUCUUGCCGACAGCACGUCACAUUCCUGCACUUCCCACACAUGAAUCACUUUAUCUUCACCUGCACUUGCUAGAAAACGUGCGUCACAGCUGAAUCUAAUAGCCCAUAUAGAACCCUCGUGCGCUAGUAUUUCUUGAGACAUAUGCAGUGCCGUAAAUUCUUUGUAUGAUUUCCCAUGCUGACGAGCUUUUACCCAUUCCGAUGUAGCCUUAGGAGGAGGAGGAGGAG